RNAcentral lists this ribosomal RNA (467 nucleotides) under uncultured bacterium. RNAcentral describes it as "partial 16S ribosomal RNA". It matches the Rfam family "Bacterial small subunit ribosomal RNA", at positions 28 to 507 of the family's 1533-position model. The record is from RNAcentral.
GAUGAACGCUGGCGGCGUGCUUAACACAUGCAAGUCGAACGGAAAGGCUCCUUCUUGCUGGGGUCCUCGAGUGGCGAACGGGUGAGUAACACGUGGGUGAUCUGCCCUGCACUUCGGGAUAAGCCUGGGAAACUGGGUCUAAUACCGGAUAGGACCACAUUUUGGAUGGUGUGGUGGAAAGAUUUUCGGUGUGGGAUGAGCUCGCGGCCUAUCAGCUUGUUGGUGGGGUAAUGGCCUACCAAGGCGUCGACGGGUAGCCGGCCUGAGAGGGUGUACGGCCGCAUUGGGACUGAGAGACGGCCCAGACUCCUACGGGAGGCAGCAGUGGGGAAUAUUGCACAAUGGGCGCAAGCCUGAUGCAGCGAGGCCGCGUGGGGGAUGACGGCCUUCGGGUUGUAAACUCCUGGCGCUAGGGACGAGGCGUUUUUGUGACGGUACCUGGAGAAGAAGCACCGGCUAACUACGUG